UCCAGACUCCUACGGGAGGCAGCAGUGGGGGAUAUUGCACAAUGGGGGGAACCCUGAUGCAGCGACGCCGCGUGAAGGAAGAAGUAUCUCGGUAUGUAAACUUCUAUCAGCAGGGAAGAAAAUGACGGUACCUGACUAAGAAGCCCCGGCUAACUACGUGCCAGCAGCCGCGGUAAUACGUAGGGGGCAAGCGUUAUCCGGAUUUACUGGGUGUAAAGGGAGCGCAGGCGGCACGGCAAGCCUGAUGUGAAAGCCCGCGGCCCAACCGCGGGACUGCAUUGGGAACUACCGGGCUGGAGUGCAGGAGAGGUAGGCGGAAUUCCUGGUGUAGCGGUGAAAUGCGUAGAUAUCAGGAGGAACACCGGUGGCGAAGGCGGCCUGCUGGACUGCGACUGACGUUGAGGCCCGAAAGCGUGGGGAGCAAACAGGAUUAGAUACCCCCGUA
This 445-nucleotide ribosomal RNA is filed under the name uncultured bacterium. RNAcentral's name for it is "partial 16S ribosomal RNA". It matches the Rfam family "Bacterial small subunit ribosomal RNA", at positions 330 to 792 of the family's 1533-position model. The record is from RNAcentral.